Rattus norvegicus (Norway rat) is the source of this 203-nucleotide small nuclear RNA. Ensembl annotates it as U2 spliceosomal RNA. NCBI's taxonomy places the organism in Eukaryota, Metazoa, Chordata, Mammalia, Rodentia, Muridae. The record is from Ensembl.
AUCGCUUCUCGGCCUUUUGGCUAAGAUCAAGUGUAGUAUCUGUUCUUAUCAGUUUAAUAAUGAGUCUCUGAGUUGGCACUAGAAAUGACUUGUUGAGGAAAUGCAAUUUGCCAGAGCUCUUGGACAGAGAAGCCUGCUUGGUUGCAAGUGAGAAGCAAUAAGAAUGACACAUCGGAGUGUCAAGAUCCUUUAAUGCACGACUU